RNA transcript from Neofelis nebulosa (Clouded leopard), 1744 nucleotides. It is a transcript of the gene named eukaryotic translation initiation factor 2B subunit alpha, with no coding region annotated. The record is from RefSeq and is a predicted model, not a curated record. The transcript has 10 exons. NCBI's taxonomy places the organism in Eukaryota, Metazoa, Chordata, Mammalia, Carnivora, Felidae.
CCGCCCCCAAAGCGCCGGAAGUGGAGUGUGGAGUCGGGCUGCUCGCUGACCGUGUCUGCGGCUGCGAACCACACCGGUCGGGGGACGCUUCCCGGCAGCGCGGGCGGCCCCGGUCCCCUCGGGCUCCGCGGUCCGGACGGCACCAUGGACGACAAGGAGCUAAUUGAAUAUUUUAAGUCCCAGAUGAAGGAAGAUCCUGACAUGGCCUCAGCAGUAGCCGCCAUCCGGACUUUGCUGGAAUUCUUGAAAAGAGAUAAAGGGGAGACCAUCCAGGGCCUGAGAGCAAACCUCACCAGUGCCAUAGAAACCCUGUGUGGCGUGGACUCCUCUGUGGCCGUGUCCUCAGGCGGGGAGCUCUUCCUACGCUUUAUUAGCCUCACCUCCUUGGAAUACUCGGAUUACUCUAAAUGUAAAAAGAUCAUGAUUGAGCGGGGAGAACUUUUUCUCAGGAGAAUAUCCCUAUCGAGAAGUAAAAUUGCAGAUCUGUGCCAUACUUUCAUCAAAGACGGGGCGCGAAUAUUAACUCACGCCUACUCCAGAGUGGUCCUGAGAGUUUUGGAGGCAGCAGUGGCGGCUAAGAAGCGUUUCAAGGUGUACAUUACAGAGUCACAGCCUGAUUUAUCAGGUAAGAAAAUGGCCAAAGCUCUCUGCCACCUCAACGUCCCUGUCACUGUGGUCCUAGAUGCUGCUGUUGGCUACAUCAUGGAGAAAGCGGAUCUUGUCAUAGUUGGCGCUGAAGGGGUUGUUGAAAACGGGGGCAUCAUUAACAAGAUUGGAACCAACCAGAUGGCCGUGUGCGCCAAAGCACAGAACAAGCCUUUUUAUGUGGUUGCAGAAAGUUUCAAGUUUGUACGGCUCUUCCCGCUAAACCAGCAAGAUGUCCCAGAUAAGUUUAAGUAUAAGGCAGAUACCCUGAAGUCUCUGCAGACCGAACAGGAUCUCAAAGAGGAGCACCCGUGGGUGGACUACACGCCUCCUUCCUUGAUAACGCUGCUCUUUACAGACCUGGGGGUGUUGACACCCUCAGCGGUCAGCGACGAGCUCAUCAAGUUGUAUCUGUGACCGCUGGACCCUUCCCUGCUGGCGCAGCUGAGGCACUUGGGGCGGGGUGAGUAGCAGACUAAAGACCUAAAACUUCAAGAAUUGUUUAUUCAUUUCAGCCCCAUCUAAAAUGUGUUCAUAGUUCCCGUAAAACCCAACCUGAAUUGCGCUCGUGGUUUCCAGGCACUUUCCAGAAACACAAAUUAGAUUACUGGCUACUUAUCCAGUGAAAGACCUGCCCAAGCCCACCUCCCUUCUUCCCUGCACUCCAGACUGAUUUGCUACAAGCAUCAAAGAGAUGCAGGCCUUCCUGUGCAGCCAGGCGCCCCUUCAGGAACUAACAGCUGCCCGGGACACACAUGACGUACGGCGCCUCGUGAGAAAGGCUAGAAACCGUGUUCGGUUCCCAUCAGGCUUCCAGCGGUGAACACGAGCCAGGGACUGCCAUCCCCUCGUCGGUCUGGGGGCAGACAGAAUGGAAACCAGCAAGAGAACCCGAGGAAGGCAGAAACGGCAUUUAGCAGGAGCAUCCUAUGUGGCUCAUCACGUAUGAAGACCUUCCAGAACGUUUAUAAGCUGAAAUUCUGCAUCUGUGAAAGAUGUGGAUCUCCUUUAGAUGUUGUUUGUGCCUGAACAGCUUUUUAAAAUUGUACUUGGGGACAAAUCGAGCACCUUUUCAAAUAAAUUCUAUGAAGGGUUUUGA